RNAcentral lists this long non-coding RNA (2305 nucleotides) under Schizosaccharomyces pombe (fission yeast). Lineage: Eukaryota; Fungi; Ascomycota; Schizosaccharomycetes; Schizosaccharomycetales; Schizosaccharomycetaceae. The record is from RNAcentral.
AUGGCGAAUCUACAGGAAAGGAGAGUACCUUCGACCAUUUGUAAGUGUGAGGUUUUUGAAGUUCCAAAGUUUCCACUAGAUGUUGUAGAAACUCUUGUGCAUCUUGUUGAAUGGAACGAACAAGUUUUUUAUUAGUGGCAAUCUCUAAUGAAUUGAGGAAGGAACCGGGAGUGAUUGGAUUACCGGGGCCACUAUUUAAUUUUUGCAGAAGUUCAUAAAGGGUAGCGUAUAAGGUAGAGGAAGAACAACGGAGUUUUAGGAUUUCCAAUAAUGAUUCUUGACUUGCUAGGGAUUGCAAAACACAAUUGAGGAAACAAUCGUUACCCGAAACAUUGUAAAGGCCUUUGAUGGAGGCGUUUUUCACCAACCUCUUGCCAGUGGAAGGAGAGGUAACGAUGUAAAGGGCAGCAAACGUAGUUAAAAUGGCGGCACCCUUGAAAACUGUUUUGUAUUUUUUUGCCCUAGAAAUGGACAAUGGCGUUGUAGACAUGAUAAUGAAUGCAUGCAAUGAAGAAUUAGGGAAAAGAAAUUAUUAGAGGUAACAGAGAAUAUAAUUUACAAAAGAAAAAAAAAAUUUAUGCAUAAAAACAAAUUUUUUUUGGCAAGGGAAAUAAGAAUAGAAGACGAGCGUUAAGUCACAGCAUAUAUCCACUAGGUUGUUGUUACUAGCUUUAUUGGUAUAAACGAUAACACGAGUCCAAUGGCGGUGAGGUAAAGGACACGAUAAUAACGUACAAUAUAGGUAUAGUUAGGGAGACGAGGUAAUAAGAACCAAACUUUUUGAGCAUAAAACAACCUUUUUAGGAAAUAAUCAGUGAUAGGAUGAGUAAAAGUUUGAAAGUUUUACAAAGGCAAAUUUAAAAAAAAAAACAGUUGUCAAAAAAAGUGUCAGCAAUUAGAAUGUUGUCGAGUAAUGCGACAAAAGACACAAAUAUUACUUUUUGGGAGGAGGGAGUCAAUAAAUAAAUAGAUAAAGUUGAAAGUGGUAGAAUGAUUUUACCUUUGCAAUUUUAGCGAUCGCAAUAGAUGAAAUAGGCGAUAAGAUAUGAAAGGAUAAAAAAGAAAAAGAAAUUAAAAAACGUUAGGAAGUAAUUGUAGAGAAAUGAAAUAGCACAAUUUAAAAAAAAAAAAAUAAGAAAAGAGAAAAAAAAAGUAUAGCGAUCCUAUCAAAGAGAAUAAAUUACGAUGGAAUCAAGAACAAGAAAAAAGGCAAGAGGCGUCUAUAAGAAACAGACAAAAGUUUUUUCGAAGAAGAAAAAAAAAGGGAUCCAAAAAAGAUGGGAGAUUUUUUUCACUUGAUUAUGUGUGAAGGAUUUUUUGUAAGGUAAGAUUAGACGAUGGGGAGGCAGUGCCGAUUUGUCGGUAUGGAUUGUUUUUUGAUGGAGAAAUUAAGAUAAAAGUAAAGGUAUUAAAGUUUUUGCAGAGAAAGCUCACUCAUUCACAAGUACGACACAAAGCAAAUAAUUUGCAAUCAGAUAUGUGUAUAAAAGAGCAACCUUUAGAGAAAAAAAGCAGGUUGGAAGAGAGGGACAGGAGGGCCAAACCCUCAGCAUAAAUAUGCGCCUGAUGAGACGAAAAAAAGGUUUUUUGCAUUGGCAGCGACGUUUGUAUUUGCCGGCAAGCCCAAGGGGUUGCAAUGAUGCGUAAAAGCGACGAUUGGUGGAAGAAGGAAAAGAAUGAAGUUUUAUUUGUGCAGCCCUCCGCAUACCAGUUAGGGAGAUGCAACAUGAUUUGUUAGGGAGAAGAGAGGGAGGACAAGGAGGACGAGUAGGAAAGAAGGUGAAGUGGAGGAAGAAUAGGGAGGAAGAAGGAGAAAGAAGGAAGAGUAAGGAGAGGGAAAGAGAAGGAAGGAGAAGGGAGAAGGAACAAAAGGAAGACGUUGAAGGUAUGACAAGAGAACAAGCGGUACAUUCUUUUUGUAAUGUCAAUAACUUUUGAAUUUUACUUUUGAAUGAUUAACCAUAAUAAAUUCAUUUGCCAAUGCAAAAAAAAACUAGCAAAGGAUGGGCAGUUGAUGAAGCAUAUAUUCAACGAAGCAUAGCAAAAAGUUAUCUCUUUUCUCCAUCCAUCAUCGGUGUUUGAUGUCUGCCGUCAGUAUGUUAGGUGUUGCCUCUGACUGUAUAUAUGGACGGGAUUGCAGACAAAGAAAAGAAACAAAAGGGCUUGUCGCAUUGUUUACAUUCGAGAAAAAUUUACGUCACCCAAGAACACGUUGAAGCGAUAUCAGACACGGCAAAUGUCAGUUGUAUGAUUGGUUAGUUGAUGUGAAUGGACAGUUUAUAUUGCGUAAAUUGCAAAUCAGAUG